Molecule: ribosomal RNA, 384 nt
Filed under: uncultured bacterium
Lineage: Bacteria
Description: partial 16S ribosomal RNA
Rfam family: Bacterial small subunit ribosomal RNA
Source: RNAcentral
UGGGGAAUAUUGGACAAUGGGCGCAAGCCUGAUCCAGCAAUGCCGCGUGAGUGAUGAAGGCCUUAGGGUUGUAAAGCUCUUUCGCACGCGACGAUGAUGACGGUAGCGUGAGAAGAAGCCCCGGCUAACUUCGUGCCAGCAGCCGCGGUAAUACGAAGGGGGCUAGCGUUGUUCGGAAUUACUGGGCGUAAAGGGCGCGUAGGCGGCCUGUUUAGUCAGAAGUGAAAGCCCCGGGCUCAACCUGGGAAUAGCUUUUGAUACUGGCAGGCUUGAGUUCCGGAGAGGAUGGUGGAAUUCCCAGUGUAGAGGUGAAAUUCGUAGAUAUUGGGAAGAACACCGGUGGCGAAGGCGGCCAUCUGGACGGACACUGACGCUGAGGCGCAG